CAUCUGCGUUACGAUGAAACACAACGUCCACCAUCGACGGGCAGCGUCACUCCCGUCAGAAACGAGGCGUGUUCUUCGGACGCCAAAAAAGCGAUGGAUUUCGCUACUUCUUCCGGUGUUCCAGCACGACCUAAUGGAUUUCAGUAUUGCCAAUAAUGCCUGGACAAACGGCAUUAACUCGAAUCCCUUUAGAUGCCAGUUCUGAAGCAGCACAGCGAGUCAGCUGGGCAAUUGCAGCCUUGCUCAUGCAAUAGGCCAUCAUGUCUGUACACUAAUAAUUAAAAAAGAAUUAUUAAACAAGACAUUUUGGUUUGUAUCGAUUGACGUACUGCUCGUAUUCCAGCGACGCUGGACACGUUGAUGAUAUUUCCUUUGGUUUCCGACAGGUAAGGGAUGACUAAUUUGUUCAUUAAAACAACAACGCGACAAUUAAUGUUCAUUACUUUAUCAAAGUCUUCCAUUUUCAUGUUUUCAAGUCGACUGGCACUGACUAUUCCUGCAUUGGCUACUAAAACGUCAAUUCUCUUGAAGGUUUCGAUAGUUUUCGCUAUUAAAAAAUGGCAGUUUUCUUCUACAGUUAAAUCUCCAGUCAUUGUCACGAUCUAACGGACAAAAUAAACUUAAUUUCCCAUUUGUGUGUGCUUUUUAAAAUUGCACAAAACUUACGUCAUCUGAUGUCAAUUGAGGGUUGGCUGUAAGGCAACGAGAUUUCGUUUCAGCUAAACCUGCCUCGUCAGCUGGAAUAUUCAAGGCAUAAAGAGACAAACGGUAGCCCAGAGUGGCAAAUUGGACAGCCGUGGCCGCCCCGAUUCCGCAACUUGAACCUGGAACACGUGAAAAAUCAACGCAAUAAGUCAAGUGAUUUCGAGAGAAUCGGUAUAAAUUACCGGUGAUAAGAGCAACUUUCCGAACAUUUUCUGGAUCUUGGGCCAUUGCAAUAAUCAAUGUUGUUAUUGUCGAUCAUGAAAGCGACUGGCUAUAUUGAACCAGCAUCAUUUUGCGAUGCGCGAUGAAGUGCAUCAAAAGAGCUUUGGACCUCUUUUAUUGAUAACGUCUUGUUAUCAAUUGCUCUCUACGCACUUUAAGGCAACAUUGAACCGCAUCGUCGCACGUAACCCAAGUAAAAAGAUUCUAAUAUUUAUCUUAAAUCUUUAUAUAUAUGUGAACGGCUAUUUUUUGCUGCAUUUGUGCUGACUAAUGUAGAUAACAUCUUGCAAUGGUUAUCUACCAACCGAAAAAAAUGUAUUUGAUGUGAAUUAUAUGGGCUACAACCUUUUUUCCGCAUUCCACUAAUGAGAUGAAUGACGUCUGUUAAACAAAGAUGAAGGAGCGUUUGCAAAACAGCUCGUUUUCUUACUCCCCCUCUCGAUAUCUAUCUCUUCCUCAAGUGAGUAAUUUUUAAGCAAUUUUGUGAACUAGGUUUGAUAAAAUUCGACUACGUUCAACACAGAAAUUGCGUCUAAAUGGCAAUACACCGUGGCAUCAUUUCUAAUCAACGUCUACGACGACAAAGAAGUUCGCGAAAAAACUGAAUGAGACUCAGGGCAUAGCCAGCAAUGAGAAACAUAAAAGGUGAGCUCGCAUUGCCUGGGGUACUUGUCUUGACGGACGGACCAAUAUUCACGUAAUCCAGCGGCAUGGAACCAUAAAGACCUUGAUGUAUACGUAAAGUUAAUUUGUUUUUAUUAUCUAUUAUUUUAAUCAAAGAAAAAAAUGUACUCUCUUUCAAUUUCCUCCUUGUAUGGACUUGUUUUCGGGAUGGCAAGGAACAUGUUAGCCCACGUCGUUUUCUCCUUGGCCAAAGUUAAAAGACAUUUGCCUCUCUCAGAAGAAUGUUUCUGCAUGUUACCUCUACCACCGCUGGACGUCUGUCGUCACAUAAUCGACACGUUGUGUUACUUGCUUCAAAUCUAAAUUUAAAGAUGCUUACCAUAAUGGCAACGUAAUUGUCGUUUUUUACAACUUGCAAAGCCUGGUCACUGGUGUUGAAUUUCCUGCAAUCAGGACACUGUUUCAUUCUC
RNAcentral lists this long non-coding RNA (2021 nucleotides) under Daphnia magna. Its description in RNAcentral is "uncharacterized LOC116936442". The record is from RNAcentral. Lineage: Eukaryota; Metazoa; Arthropoda; Branchiopoda; Diplostraca; Daphniidae.